GUGAGGGAAAGGCGAAAAGAACCCCGGCGAGGGGAGUGAAACAGAACCUGAAACCGUGUACGUACAAGCAGUGGGAGCCUUCGUAAGAGGGUGACUGCGUACCUUUUGUAUAAUGGGUCAGCGACUUAUAUUCUGUAGCAAGGUUAACCGUAUAGGGGAGCCGAAGGGAAGCCGAGUCUUAACCGGGCGUUAAGUUGCAGGGUAUAGACCCGAAACCCGGUGAUCUAGCCAUGGGCAGGUUGAAGGUUGGGUAACACUAACUGGAGGACCGAACCGACUAAUGUUGAAAAAUUAGCGGAUGACCUGUGGCUGGGGGUGAAAGGCCAAUCAAACCGGGAGAUAGCUGGUUCUCCCCGAAAGCUAUUUAGGUAGCGCCUCGUGAACUCAUCUCCGGGGGUAGAGCACUGUUUCGGCUAGGGGGCCAUCCCGGCUUACCAACCCGAUGCAAACUGCGAAUACCGGAGAAUGUUAUCACGGGAGACACACGGCGGGUGCUAACGUCCGUCGUGAAGAGGGAAACAACCCAGACCGCCAGCUAAGGUCCCAAAGUCACGGUUAAGUGGGAAACGAUGUUGGAAGGACCACACAGACAAGAUGUUGGCUUAGAAGCCGCCAUCAUUUAAAUAAAGCGUAAU
This 635-nucleotide ribosomal RNA is filed under the name Leptospira borgpetersenii serovar Ballum. RNAcentral describes it as "partial 23S ribosomal RNA". It matches the Rfam family "Bacterial large subunit ribosomal RNA", at positions 503 to 1138 of the family's 2925-position model. The record is from RNAcentral. Lineage: Bacteria; Pseudomonadati; Spirochaetota; Leptospiria; Leptospirales; Leptospiraceae.